CAAACCUGGAGAAGCGUCAGCUCAAGAUAUUAUUGUUGUCAUUGCUGUGGAUCUUUACCUGAUACACUGACUUGGCCGAUCGGGACCAGCACUCCUGUUGUUGGACAGAAAGACAUCAACUCAGUGACUUGAGAUAUGACUGCACUAUGCUGUUGCUGGUGACUCCGGUUAAUUCUACAAGACAUGCUGUGACACCAGGAGAGAUGAGUCCUCCGUCACAGAUGGUGUG
This is a long non-coding RNA of Pelmatolapia mariae (spotted tilapia), 229 nucleotides long. RefSeq lists it as uncharacterized. NCBI's taxonomy places the organism in Eukaryota, Metazoa, Chordata, Actinopteri, Cichliformes, Cichlidae. The record is from RefSeq and is a predicted model, not a curated record. The transcript has 4 exons.